This 460-nucleotide ribosomal RNA is filed under the name uncultured bacterium. Its description in RNAcentral is "partial 16S ribosomal RNA". It matches the Rfam family "Bacterial small subunit ribosomal RNA", at positions 338 to 795 of the family's 1533-position model. The record is from RNAcentral.
CCUACGGGGGGCAGCAGUGAGGAAUAUUGGUCAAUGGACGAGAGUCUGAACCAGCCAAGUAGCGUGAAGGAUGACUGCCCUAUGGGUUGUAAACUUCUUUUAUAAAGGAAUAAAACGAGGCACGUGUGCCUUUUUGCAUGUACUUUAUGAAUAAGGAUCGGCUAACUCCGUGCCAGCAGCCGCGGUAAUACGGAGGAUCCGAGCAUUAUCCGGAUUUAUUGGGUUUAAAGGGAGCGUAGAUGGGUUGUUAAGUCAGUUGUGAAAGUUUGCGGCUCAACCGUAAAAUUGCAAUUGAUACUGGCAGUCGUGAGUACAGUUGAGGUAGGCGGAAUUCGUGGUGUAGCGGUGAAAUGCUUAGAUAUCACGAAGAACCCCGAUUGCGAAGGCAGCUUACUAAACUGUGACUGACAUUGAUGCUCGAAAGUGUGGGUAUCAAACAGGAUUAGAUACCCUAGUAGUC